UUUACUGUGUUCCAGCUGCGUGCUUAUAUUUACAUAAAAGAAAGUAUAUAUAAGCUGUCGUAGAAGUUUGGUACGAAAGCCACCCGCGCAUCAACAGUUAAUCAUCAGUUAAUGUCAACAAAUCGCGGUGCCUAAGUAGUCUGCACAUGUUGAAGUUUAUCCCGUAUCGUUGCUGACGUGGAUAAAAUAAAACUAUUUUCCUCGCGUCGAAAAAAUCCACUCAAAUCACAUAAGACCACUGAAAGCGUCGAAAAAACUGAGGAAAACGGCAAAUGGCGGAAAACUCUACCUUGAGUCCAGAAAGCGUGAUACUACAAAGCCAAGAACUAGAGGUGGACCAGGCCAGCUGUUGUCGCCAUUCACGCUGCACGAUCACACUACCGUUGAAGUAUGACUGCUAAAAGAGGUCGUGUUGUAGCAGCUAGCUCAUUUUUCGUCUAAUAUAUCCAUUUUUAAAUUCUAACUACCUAUACAUGCCACCACCAGCAAAGAGAACCAAGGAAAAAACUUCUACUGAGCUAAGUCCUCCAGCAGAUGGGCCUUGGAAAAGAAUUUCAGAAGUUUGCUGAACAAACGGACUUUUUUAAAGCCAAUAUGGCUGAACUGUAGAAUCGCAUCACGACGUUAUUAACAGUGAUAUGUCGGAACUCAUGAAAAGAGUCGAGCGUUUGAAGAGUGAGGUCGCGGAAACUCGGGCCUUGCGAGACCAAGUCAAUCGCCUAAAGUCUGCAUCUGAGUUGUAGCUGUACCAUUUAAUCAAGGCGAAGAUGUGAGGGAUUGUUUCACAUCCUUUGCUUUAACUUUAAAGUUACUCCUACCCCAAGAAUUCGAGAUAUCUUCCGGAUAAAACCCCCUAGAAACGGUCGUUCUGUAGUUGACCCUAUAAUAAUGAUCAAGUUCGAUAGACCUGAAGACAAGGUUAACCCGAUGCGUAACGUGGAUGCACUUCGGCGUGAAACGAAAAGCCAGCUUUCUCUAUGUUACGUUGGUAUAGAUUCGCCCACGCCAAUCUUUCUAAACGAACAGUUGACUAAAACAAACUACGAGAUUUUUAAAGCAGCCAUGCACAUUAAGCGUCGUCGAGCAACAGUCCACUUAAAGAAGACGGGCAGUGAUGAGGUCCUAUACAUUGAGAACAUGAAGGCCCUUAACGACAUUAAUCCUGAUCUGCUAAAAACACCUAAUUUAUUUCGUUAUUGCAGCUCAUAAAUGUUCUAAAUGUUCAUUUUAAGGUACUAUUUGUUCUACUUAUAUUUACUUUCAACUGCAAUUCGUCGUACUCUUGAUAUAUGUCUGUCAUAAGCGCGCAAAGCCUGACUAUUAAGAUCGAUGAGUACCUAUUCGAAAAAUCAAAAGUCGAUAUCAUCGGUGUUUCCGAAACAUCCGAUAUUAGUAGUUCAUAUAUUCGUUUUGCUGACUAUAAUCUGCUUCGUUCUGAUAGAGUAUAUCAUGCCGGUGGUGUUGCUAUUUUUGUCCGUAAACAAUUUAAAUGUAAAGUUUUGUGUCAGCAAACGUCAGAGUGCAAUAGAAUACUUACUUGUAGAAGUACUUGGAACAAAUUCUCAAAACAUUAUUAUUGGCUGGGCCUAUACCCAAAUCUACUUGCCAAUCUGACUGCCCUAACAUGGACUUAUACAAAUUUUGUUAUAAACGGAGAUUUCAACAGUGAUCUUUUAGCUGAAUCUAGUCUCUGCACAGAACUAUUAUCACUUGGAAUUCAGCCAGCAAAUGUCACAGCCUUGUCAAAAUCCUCACAACCCUUGACGCAUUUUUUGGGGAUGACGCAAGUAAAAUCCUUUUAUAUGACAAGGUAUCUGUACAAGUUUACUCGCGGCAUGAUCUUAUAUACAAGACGUAUAGCAUAGAAUUAGGCGCUGAGGAAAACUCCAUAACUUAUCAGGCCUUAAAAGAUAUAAACUAUACGCUACUGGACUCAGAAUUUAACUCUUUUAGCUGGCAAGCAUUGUAUACAAUUCCCGAUGAUGAUUCACAGAUAGAGUUCUUUAACAGUAAUAUUGAGCUUCUAUACAACAAAUAUGUACCUCUCAGGACAAAAAAAAUUAAGCCGAAGAAGAAACCAUGGAUAAGCAUGGAAAUAAAAAAUACUAUGAAUGCGUGUUCAAACUCAACGAUAUUCCGCUAUUCGCACUCCACAUAUGUACAUUGUACAUACAUAGGCACAUCUUCGUUUUCUCCAGCGCACAGUGGGUCAAGGGCUAACAAUAGAUGCUAGUUUCAAACAAGCAAAAAUAAAAACAUAAUUAAAAAAAACCCAAAAUUCUUGCCUAUCUAAGCGCCAGUGUGACCAGACUUCGAUUGGUUCCUAAAUUCCAAUUUAUUUCUUGCCCGAAUCCCUUUCUUACUUGCUUUAUCAGCAAAAUCCGCUCUAAAACAAUUUAUUGCCACAGUCGACUCCCUGACACAGUUUGAGGCCAGUAUAAACGUUUCAGGUGCCUCCACGCCAACUUUAUCCGCCUGUAAAGUCCGUUGCGAUCAUUUCAAUUCCUUCUGGAAAAUGGUAAAAGGAGGAUAUUUCAUAUGAUGCUCCAAAUAAGUUGGUGGUGGUUGGGUUUGAUUAAUUUAAUUUAAUGGAAAUACCAAACAAUGCGUCUUCGCUCUUCGAGGUUCAAAUCUUAACUGUUGUUUAUUUGACAAUUCGGUUAUAAGUUAAUACAGAAUUCGCUGACGGUGCUGUUGGCAUGUGGUGGGGGAACCGUUGAGUAAGCAGGCGAUGCAGAUCACACUUAGCGUCAAUAUACGAACUAGAGUAUACGUUGUUGCCAUGUGUAUUGUUGUCCACAGUUGCACCCUGUCGAUUUCCAUAUUAGUUUUGAUAUCCUCCAUUUUUAGUUCGUGGAUUCCCAAUUCCUUCGUUGUUCUAUUCUUUAAAGUUUCGAUUUUGGGAAUCUCUACCUUUGGAUUUUCUGCAUUCAAGCGUUCUACUGCUACGUAUCGCACGUUUUUGACUGUCACCUUGCAACGCUUAUCAUUAACGCUUAUCAACGCCGAGCCAUCGAUUGUCCUUUUCGGACCGCAGAUUGAUUGUACACUGACUUUUUCGCCGUUAAACACCGCAAUAUGACCUGGCUCCGGCUCGAACAUCUCCUGAAAUCCUGUGUCCUCCGUUUCGCACUCUACCGCUUCUCCGACUAUUACGUUCCUCAGGCACCUUUUACCUCCGUCAUUUAUAUUUUGCUGCUUUCGUGUAAUGACAAAAUUGAUUCUUAAAAUAGGCUAACAAUUUUGGUGUUACUACAAAUUCCGUCUUAUUUAAAGGUAGAGGUAGAAUUCUUUUGAAGAUAUACAUUUAUUUUUCAAAUAUUGGAAGUACCAAUGAGAAUAUAAUAUCUGUCCCAUUCAUAUACAUUAUACAGCCUCCCUUCUCCGGAAGCUUUCCCUAGGCGAGAUCGGAGAACGCGCCCCGGGUGACGGGGUCUGCUUUCCCAUCUUCGGGAAUUCCUGCAGUUGACGGGGUCGAUCCUGACCUUUUCCUUUUCCCCCCUCCUUUAGAACGACCCUAAAGUAGUCUUCGUCCGUUAUCCUGUCUGUCUUGAAAUAGAAACAUUUUCUGUGAAGCGACCUUGGCGUGACCAAGUUUCAUCCCAGCUCUAGUACUACUUUAAAGAAUGGCGCCCGAACAUGGACUAGAUAGGAUAUGUUAAGGAUAAUUCCAUCCAUCGUGGCUAAAAGCACCAUCAGUAAAAAAAUUCGGAGUCGAAAGAAAAAAGGUUAGGGUCGGAAAUCCAGGGAAGCAUCAGUUGGUAGGCCAGUUUUGCUCUUUUAAAAAGCAAGGAAAAUAGUAUGAAGAAGAAACGGGAAAAGGUACAGCCGCGACGUACAGUCAGAUCCGACGACGAGAGCACGUGACACACGAAGCCGAACCGACACGAAGUUACGAACAACCCGACACGAAGUUGCGCUAGAAACAACGACAAAAGUACACGAAGCAAAGAAAAAAAAUAAAAGGACACAAUACAAAGUCGACGCCGCAGCCGCCAUCCGGUACAAAAAAAAAGAAACAUAGUUUUCUAUCCCUGUCGCACACAUGGUUUCUCUUACCAAGUAGGAAGCCCGAAGCCAGCCGACUUCAAGUACAUAAACCGUCGUCCCCACGAAUCGAGAUCAUUCGAUUCCUAUCGCUACGAGAGCGAACAUAAUCUUGCUGCAUCGCUACAAGGACACGCCUCAAGGAUCACUGCGAGGAUACACCAGGACCUGCUGAAUCGCUACAAGGACACGCCUCAAGGAUCACUGCAAGGAUACACCAGGACCUGCUGCAUCGCGACAAGGACACGCCUCAAGGAUAUUAACUAAAUCGCUACCAGGAUCCUAAAGGACGCAACGCUUUAGGGAUACAACCUUCAACUCUCGCUCUGAAAACGCGCAUUCUGAUCCGCCUUCGCGAAACCACAUCAGGAUACGCGUCGAUCACUACUCAUUUUCCUAGGCACGCCUACGAAGCCACCCACCCCGUCGGCAUCCAACGCGGUGAGCCCUCGCUUCCAACGGUAAAAUGGGUGUUACCUGGAUAUCAUAUCGGAAGAAGCACGAACUCGACGCAAUCCUACUCGAGCUUGGCCUCGAACUCACCGGUACGGUCGAGGAGCAACGAUCCCGGCUCUACGCGUUCGUACGGCAACCUGGACUCCCGGACGCGGUCCGGCCACGGCUCGGAGAAAUGGAGCUAAAGUAUGGAAAUUCCCCAUCCGGGGACUCCAAGCCAUCGUCGCCGUUACCUCCGGAUUUCGAGUCGAGCGUCGGCACGGCAUCUACGCACACGAUUGCUCCGGCCGCGGGCCACACCCUAACGGUGCCACGCAAUACGUCGCCAGCACCACGCGGGAUACCAGGAUCACCACGCGGCACAACCUCCCAGUUCGACGCGGCCGUGUGCUCCAUGUUGGUCGACAAAAUGACCAAGUGGGGAUUGUCUUUCGACGGCACGUCAGUCCCGCUCAGCUUCGUUGAACACAUGGAGGAACGGGCGAAUACCUACCGCAUCGACCAGAAAUAUUUGUCCCACGCUAUUGUCGUAGUCUUGACUGGCCGAGCCGAGAGCUGGUUUCGCACCAGUGGACUCCAGGGUCCUGGACAGAGGUCCGUCGGAAAUUUCUGGAUUUCUUUUUACCGCCCAGGUAUUAUCAACGGCUCGACGACGAAAUCCGCUCGCAUUUCCAAGGGGCGAACGAACCGUUCAAGGAACACCUCGUCGAUCUUCGCCUUCAGAUGCGCUGCGCUGGAUUCUCACCAGAAGAAGAGUAGGAGCGUGUGUGUGAAAACAUGCUACCAGAGUUAGAGCUGCAAAAAAAUCGAUGGUACCAUCGAUAUUAUCGAUGGUUGGCCGCCGGUGACCGACUUCGAUAUUUUUCAGACUAUCACGAUAGUUUAUCAAAAAAUUCCCAUCACUUGGAUUUCGAACUAAUAAGAAGGAACGCACAUUUUGCAUACGGAAAAUUUAAUAUACUCGUAUACUAAUUUUCUCUCGUAUUCGACAGAUAUAUUCAAAUUCUUGUGGUUCCGGUGUUGUGGUUCCUUAAAAAUGGAUGACGGUGCAAAAAGUGGAGACGAGGAUGUGGAGGACGUGAAGCAGUCGCUAAAAAAGGUCAACAGACUUGGAAGUUCGGUGUGGGAUCUCUUUGAGAAGGGCAAAGAUAAAAAGACAGCCAAACGCCGUAUAUGCAAGAAGGUGUACAAGACAAGUGGAAACACCAGCAACCUUGCUGAUCAUCUCAAGAGAUUCCACCCGACCCAAAAUCAGUAUCAGCCAGCACAAGCGACCGUCAAAAUUUUUUUUACAAAUGAUGAGUACGACAGCAAGUCUUUGCGAAAAGCAAGCCUUGACACGGCGUUGAUGCAGAUGAUUGCAAAGGAUAUUCAACCGUUUUCUAUUGUAGAUGACCAAGGGUUUAGGAACUUCGUGAAAGUGUUGGAUCCGCGCUGUACUUUGCCGUGACGCACGACUUUGCAAAACGUACAACUGCAAAACAUUUACUCGGAGAUGACUGUAAAACUGCAGACCAUUCUUGUUAAUGUCGAUCAGUGCGCAAUUACAAUGGACUGCUGGACAAGCAAGGCCAACACAGGUUAUUUGACCAUUACGGUGCACUUCAUUGACGAAAAGUUCCAGCUGAGAUCGGCAGUGUUGUCAACGCAGCCACUCCUAUGUGCAACAAACCAUUCUGCUGACAACAUCGCAUCAUCAUUGCGCGCAGAACUGAUUAACUGGAAUCUGUUGCCAAAAGUUUGCGCCAUAUUAUCAAAUAAUGCUAGCAGCAUGAUAAAGGCAUGUGAGCUGCUCGAAAAGAGACAUCUGCCGUGCUAUGCGCAUUGCCUAAACCUCGUUGCACAGAACUCGCUUUCUAUAAAAUCAAUUCAAACUAUUUUGACUAAAUGCAAACGUGUCACAUUUUUCAAAUUCAGCUCUAUCGCCUACGAGAAGUUUAAGAAAGCGUAAGGAGUCGACAAUCCGUACAGCUUAAUUCAAGAGGUAUGUACCCGCUGGAACAGCGCGUUCAAAAUGGUAGAGCGCAUACUGUUGACCAAGGAGUAUAUUUCUCCCGUUCUUGUAAGCUUGUCCAAGGCGCCGGAGCCCCUGACAGCAGACGAUCUUGCGGUCUUGGAGGAUAUAAAGUACUUACUGGCUCCUUUCGAUGAAGUUACAACUCAAUUAUCUUCGAGUACAAAAGUUACUGUAUCAUGCGUAAUACCCACAUCGAAUGGACUUGUGCAGAGUUUGUACGAAAAAAGAGAGCAGUUAAGAACAAAAGAAGGCGAAGAACUGUGCGCACUUUUAAUUGAGAAGUGUAAGAAACGACUGUUUCCCUUUGAAGAAAGGUCCUCCCCUCGUUUGGCUACAAUUUUAGACCCUCGGUUUAAGAAAGAGGGUUUCAGGUCCCACUUUAAUGCGGAGCAAGCCGUAUCUAUACUUGAAAAAAACAUUUCUUCUCCCCAUACCAACAAGGAACCCAUUUUAACCACCGAACCACCGGAACCACCAAAGCCGAACUCUUCGCUACUCAAUUUUGUAAAAAAAAAUAUAGAAUUGAAACAGAGGUCCAACAAAGUUGAGUCCAUAAUACAGAUAAGGCAGUAUUUCGAGAAAAUGAACAUUGAUGAAAAUCAGGACCCAUUGGAGUAUUGGAAGCAACAUGAAUUAGAGAUGCCCCAACUGGCUAUAAGCGCUAAGCAGGGGCUCUGCAUUCCGGCAACCUCGACGGAAUCGAAAAGGAUGUUUUCCAAGGCGGGCCUAACAAUCUCUGAUCGACGGGCGUCACUGAAGCCAAAAACCGUUAACAAAAUGUUAUUUGUUAACAAAAAUUGGGUUUUAACCAAAGAAAUGUGAUUUAAUUUCUCCUUCCAAAUAUGUACUAAAAAAGAUCAAACUUGAAUUUAAACUA
This is a non-coding RNA of Drosophila suzukii, 7397 nucleotides long. The record is from RefSeq and is a predicted model, not a curated record. Lineage: Eukaryota; Metazoa; Arthropoda; Insecta; Diptera; Drosophilidae.